CCUACGGGUGGCAGCAGUGGGGAAUAUUGCGCAAUGGGCGAAAGCCUGACGCAGCGACGCCGCGUGAGGGAUGAAGGUCCUAGGAGCGGAAACCUCUGUCAGCAGGGAAGAACGGUCACUGAGCUAAUCAGCAGUGAAUUGACGGUACCUGCAAAGGAAGCACCGGCUAACUCCGUGCCAGCAGCCGCGGCAAUACGGAGGGUGCGAGCGUUAAUCGGAAUUACUGGGCGUAAAGCGCUCGUAGGUGGUUUGUCAAGUCAAGGGUGAAAUCCCCGCGCUCAACGUUGGAACUGCCUUUGAAACUGGCAAACUGGAGUGUGUGAGAGGCUAGUGGAAUUCCCGGUGUAGGCGU
This 352-nucleotide ribosomal RNA is filed under the name uncultured bacterium. RNAcentral's name for it is "partial 16S ribosomal RNA". It matches the Rfam family "Bacterial small subunit ribosomal RNA", at positions 338 to 682 of the family's 1533-position model. The record is from RNAcentral.